CAGCCGCCGCGGGAAUACAGAGGGUGCGAGCGUUAAUCGGAUUUACUGGGCGUAAAGCGUGCGUAGGCGGCUUCUUAAGUCGGAUGUGAAAUCCCUGAGCUUAACUUAGGAAUUGCAUUCGAUACUGGGAAGCUAGAGUAUGGGAGAGGAUGGUAGAAUUCCAGGUGUAGCGGUGAAAUGCGUAGAGAUCUGGAGGAAUACCGAUGGCGAAGGCAGCCAUCUGGCCUAAUACUGACGCUGAGGUACGAAAGCAUGGGGAGCAAACAGGAUUAGAUACCCGUGUAGUCCCUGUCCUUAUACA
Molecule: ribosomal RNA, 301 nt
Filed under: uncultured bacterium
Lineage: Bacteria
Description: partial 16S ribosomal RNA
Rfam family: Bacterial small subunit ribosomal RNA
Source: RNAcentral